GGAAAUGCUGUUGAGUAUCAGCUUUGCGCUUGGCAUAAUUCUGUGUCUUGGCAGCUGAAACAGUUUUCGAGUUUGAUUGGAUCUUGAGGCGAUCGAAGCCAUUUAGAAUCCAGUCAAUGUAAAGGUUAUCUAUGAUGAAAGCUUGGAGAUCUUCAACUCUCUUAGCUCAUAGGAAUGUCUUUAAUGAACUCCAAUUUUGAACUGAUCAAAAUCUGUAUGAUGUUAGCAAUGGAUUAGAAACAGUGGCUUUCACAUAGCUACCGUUCUUUCCUU
This 273-nucleotide unclassified non-coding RNA is filed under the name Hevea brasiliensis (rubber tree). Lineage: Eukaryota; Viridiplantae; Streptophyta; Magnoliopsida; Malpighiales; Euphorbiaceae. The record is from RNAcentral.